GAUGAAGAACGCAGCGAAAUGCGAUACGUAAUGUGAAUUGCAAAUUCAGUGAAUCAUCGAGUCUUUGAACGCACAUUGCGCCCCCUGGUAUUCCGGGGGGCAUGCCUGUCCGAGCGUCAUUGCUGCCCUCAAGCACGGCUUGUGUGUUGGGCCCCGUCCUCCGAUCCCGGGGGCCGGGCCCGAAAUGCAGCGGCGGCACCGCGUCCGGUCCUCGAGCGUAUGGGGCUUUGUCACCCGCUCUGUAGGCCCGGCCGGCGCUUGCCGAUCAACCCAAAUUUUUAUCCAGGUUGACCUCGGAUCAGGUAGGGAUACCCGCUGAACUUAAGCAUAUCAAUAAGCGGAGGA
RNAcentral lists this unclassified non-coding RNA (345 nucleotides) under soil metagenome. Its description in RNAcentral is "partial contains 5.8S ribosomal RNA, internal transcribed spacer 2, and large subunit ribosomal RNA". The stretch from base 1 to 119 matches the Rfam family "5.8S ribosomal RNA", at positions 35 to 154 of the family's 154-position model. The record is from RNAcentral.